UAGGCUGAAACUCGCCUACAUGAAGCUGGAAUUGCUAGUAAUCACAGGUCAGCAUACUGUGGUGAAUACGUUCCCGGGCCUUGUACACACCGCCCGUCACACCAUGAGAGUUGANAAUACCCGAAGCCCAUGUCAAAGUGGUCGAAGGUAGGCUUGAUGAUUGGGGUGAAGUCGUAACAAGGUAGC
RNAcentral lists this ribosomal RNA (186 nucleotides) under uncultured bacterium. RNAcentral describes it as "partial 16S ribosomal RNA". It matches the Rfam family "Bacterial small subunit ribosomal RNA", at positions 1301 to 1500 of the family's 1533-position model. The record is from RNAcentral.